Molecule: ribosomal RNA, 274 nt
Filed under: uncultured bacterium
Lineage: Bacteria
Description: partial 16S ribosomal RNA
Rfam family: Bacterial small subunit ribosomal RNA
Source: RNAcentral
AUACGGAGGAUCCGAGCGUUAUCCGGAUCUAUUAGGUUUAAAGGGUGCGCAGGCGGAACUGUAAGUCACCGAUGAAAUCCUACAGCUUAACUGUAGAACUGCCGGUGAUACUGCGAUUCUUGAGUAUAGUUGAGGUAGGCGGAAUGUGUAGUGUAGCGGUGAAAUGCAUAGAUAUUACACAGAACACCGAUUGCGAAGGCAGCUUACUAAACUAUUACUGACGCUCAUGCACGAAAGCGUGGGGAGCGAACAGGAUUAGAAACCCGAGUAGUCC